CGCUUGAACAACAUUAAGAAUCUGUAGAGAAGUUACUGAUUCAACAAAACGUAUCAAAUGUCACAUGAUAAUUUGGCUUGAAUAACUUGCCUUGAAGGGGAAAGAUAAGUUCCAAGUCCAUAUAAUUUGCUGAUGGUUCAAGUUAGUUGCUGUGCAGUCUAGAACUUAAAUUGCAUAUUAUAUUACCUAAGAUAGGUGGCAUGCUGAUUCAUGGCCCAGAGGGAGGGAAUACUGAUCAGUGAUAGGAUGUGUAGCUCAUUUCAGACGGCAUUUCCAAGAGAGACGCUGGAGGAAGUGCGUCUGAAGGUGGCGUCCUCUCUGUCCACACUGCCGCUUGUGUUACGCCGGUCCUUAGGCGAGGGCCGCAGCGUACAGUGAAAACAGAAGGCAUAGAAAAAGGUCACCAGCAGCAGGAUGCACACCAUGCAGAAGAUGAUGUGACUGAAUAAGAUGAAUACCAUAAGAUGAAUAACUGAAUAGUACUCUGAGAGUUGGGAGAUUCAUGAGUACCCCUCCAAAUUAAAACAGGCAUGUAUCAGAAAUGUGCUUCCAUAUGAGGGUUUGUCUGUCUGUUUGUUUGUAUAUGUAUGUGUGUGUGUGUGUGUGUGUGUGUAUGUUUGUGCUGAUGUCACAGUCACAUUUCGAAUAAAGUGUCAAUUAUGUAUAAUAGCAAUUAUGUAUAUAAUCAACGGGCUACUGAUGGACAUGUUCCAUUUUGAUCAAAGUGUUACUGAUGUCAGUUACAUUUUGAUCAAAUGUUUGCUGAUGUUACAGUUGCAUCAGUGACCUUUUGAUCAAAAUGUAUCUGUGACAUCAGUGUCAUUGAUGUAACAGAUACAUUUUGAUCAAAGGGUUGCUGAUGUCUCAGAUAUAUUUUGAUCAAAGGGUCAUUGAGUUCACAGUUACAUUUUGAUCAAAGGGUCAUUGAUGUCACAGAUACAUCUUGAUCAAAGGGUCACUGAUGUCACAGAUAUAUCUUGAACUAAGUGUCGCUGAUGUCACAGAUACAUCUUGAACUAUGGAUUAUUGAUGUCACAGUUACAGUUUGUUUAAUGUGUCACUGAUUUCACAAUCUGAUUUUCAUCAAAGGGUUGCUGAUGUCAUAGUUACAUUUUGCUCAAAGGGUUGUUAUCAUAUUUUGGUCAGAGGGUUUCAGAAAUCUCAAUAAAAUUUUGGUCAAAGAGUUUCUGAUGUCACAGUUAUAAUUUGAUCAAAAUAUCGCUGAUGUAAAAG
This is a long non-coding RNA of Ictalurus punctatus (channel catfish), 1233 nucleotides long. The record is from Ensembl. NCBI's taxonomy places the organism in Eukaryota, Metazoa, Chordata, Actinopteri, Siluriformes, Ictaluridae.